RNAcentral lists this transfer RNA (83 nucleotides) under Rickettsiales bacterium. Its description in RNAcentral is "tRNA-Leu". It matches the Rfam family "tRNA". From Rfam's summary of the family: Transfer RNA (tRNA) molecules are approximately 80 nucleotides in length. The record is from RNAcentral. Lineage: Bacteria; Pseudomonadati; Pseudomonadota; Alphaproteobacteria; Rickettsiales.
GGGCAUGUGGCGGAAUCGGUAGACGCGCCUGACUCAAAAUCAGGUUCGAAAGAGUGCGGGUUCGAGUCCCGCCUUGCCCACCA